Molecule: long non-coding RNA, 605 nt
Filed under: Musa acuminata (dwarf banana)
Lineage: Eukaryota; Viridiplantae; Streptophyta; Magnoliopsida; Zingiberales; Musaceae
Description: long non-coding RNA (MACU_LNC006253)
Source: RNAcentral
GAAGACUGCUUCUGCUCGGGCUACUGAGAUAUCAUAUAUUUAACUAGCUUAUUCUAUAUGGGGGUCCAUCAAGUGUCCUGCUGCUCGGUUGCCUUGGGUUUGAAGCAACGUAUAGAUUCACCUCCUCAUCUCUCUUCUCUCUGCAAAGUGCAAGACCUUCUUCCUUCAUGCCGGAAAGGAUCAACAUAUUAGAACAUCCCAAGAUCCAUGUGAGCUCCCUCACUCUCUCUUUCUCUCCCUCUCUCUUUUGAACCCUAUGAUUCCAUUAGCAGGGAAAGGAAAAUACAUAUCCUGAUUCAUCAUUUCAUGCGAGGAACACAAAGAUGCAGCUGCUGCAAGCUGUAUUCAGUAAGAUAAUUAUAUUUUGUUGGGAGAUAUUCUGCCAUCAGUUCUUGCUUGGACUUUUCUUAGGGAGACAGAUCAGAAUUGUCCUGUCCUUUAUGCGACUAAAUUCCAUGCACUGUGUUUAUUGCUUUUAAUUUGUUUAGUAGUAUUCAUUUUGGGUUCUUCGGAAUGUGCAGUAACAACUGUGAAGGUUCUUCCCUGCUUUUGCUUUGGCAGCUCAACCACUGUAAUCCAAACCCUCUCUCUCUCUCUCUCUCUCU